Molecule: non-coding RNA, 73 nt
Organism: Gymnothorax javanicus (giant moray)
Lineage: Eukaryota; Metazoa; Chordata; Actinopteri; Anguilliformes; Muraenidae
Source: the annotation of a GenBank genome assembly
GCCCCGGUGGCUCAUUGGUCUAAGCGCACGCACCAUAAAUGCGGAGACCCAGGUACGAUUCCGGCUCGGGUCA